This 468-nucleotide ribosomal RNA is filed under the name uncultured bacterium. RNAcentral describes it as "partial 16S ribosomal RNA". It matches the Rfam family "Bacterial small subunit ribosomal RNA", at positions 28 to 507 of the family's 1533-position model. The record is from RNAcentral.
GACGAACGCUGGCGGCGUGCUUAACACAUGCAAGUCGAACGGAAAGGCCCUGCUUUUGUGGGGUGCUCGAGUGGCGAACGGGUGAGUAACACGUGAGUAACCUGCCCUUGACUUUGGGAUAACUUCAGGAAACUGGGGCUAAUACCGGAUAGGAGCUCCUGCUGCAUGGUGGGGGUUGGAAAGUUUCGGCGGUUGGGGAUGGACUCGCGGCUUAUCAGCUUGUUGGUGGGGUAGUGGCUUACCAAGGCUUUGACGGGUAGCCGGCCUGAGAGGGUGACCGGCGACGGUGGGACGGAGGGACGGCGCAGACUGGUACGGGAGGCAGCAGGGGGGAGUAGUGCACAAUGGGCGGGAGCCUGAUGCAGCAACGCCGCGUGCGGGAUGACGGCCUUCGGGGUGUAAACCGCUUUCGCCGGUGACGAAGCGUGAGUGACGGUAAUGGGUAAAGAAGCACCGGCUAACUACGUG